UACGUAGGGGGCAAGCGUUGUCCGGAUUUAUUGGGCGUAAAGAGCGUGUAGGCGGCUUGGUAGGUCUCGCGUCAAAACCUGAGGCUCAACCUCAGUUCGCGUGGGAAACCACCUAGCUAGAGUCCGGAAGAGGAGAACGGAAUUCCCAGUGUAGCGGUGAAAUGCGCAGAUAUUGGGAAGAACACCAGUGGCGAAGGCGGCUCUCUGGGGUGCACCUGACGCUGAUGCGCGAAAGCGUGGGGAGCGAACCGG
Molecule: ribosomal RNA, 252 nt
Filed under: uncultured bacterium
Lineage: Bacteria
Description: partial 16S ribosomal RNA
Rfam family: Bacterial small subunit ribosomal RNA
Source: RNAcentral